Paramormyrops kingsleyae is the source of this 2059-nucleotide non-coding RNA. The record is from RefSeq and is a predicted model, not a curated record. NCBI's taxonomy places the organism in Eukaryota, Metazoa, Chordata, Actinopteri, Osteoglossiformes, Mormyridae.
UUAGCAGUCUAAGGUGUGUGGUUAUUUCUCGCUCCACCUCUCUCAGUGUCCGACAUUCUUCCUUCAUAUGGAUCUUUAUUCAUUACUUACUUUACAUCCUUUCUACCAUUCCUCUACAAGUUUUUACCCUUUAUCCACCCUUAAAAAUAUCUGUAUUCUAAACAAAUUUUAUUUGUUCGCAUCUUGCAUUUUUCGUGUUUCAUAUCAUAUCAGUAAGUCUCAUCCCAGCAAGUUUCUUGUGGUGAAUCAUUUACCUCGUUGCCCGUGUCCAUUUCCCAGAAUGCAAUGCAAAUUGCAAUUUGUGUUUGUUACAGCGGUGAAUUGCGGCCAUGAGCAUAAUGACAGUUGUAAUGGGUGCGAUUAUACUGCCUGCAUUUUUGUUUCCUGAUGGAGCUUUUAAGCUCCCUGAAGAGAGAGAUGGAGAAAAUGUGUGUGUGUGUGUGUGUGUGUUUGUGGGGGGGGAGGGGGGUUUAAAAAGUGUGUUUAUGGGAAAGAGAGUGACUGGUAGGAGUCUUUCUAUAUAGCUUACAGAAAGGACACAUUGUUUCAAUGAGUCCUGUGGCUGCCAUUCUCUUUGCUGAGCACUUUACUAUUGAUGCUGUGUUAUAUUAGACACAGUAGCUGUGUUAUGAAAUAAAAAGAAAGCAUUUUACAUGGGACUGUUUUAUACAGUCAUCUGUAAUUUGUUUUAAUCACUGCAUUAGAUAUAUAAGAUUUCAGAUUGCCUACAUAUAGUCAAUCAAAAUUAAAAUAAAUGAUUCCUUCUGUUAUAGAGCUAUUGUUUUUCAAUUACUCUGAGUAGAAUUGCACUUGUAUUUAGAUUUAUUGGGAUCAAUAUUUACACCCUCAACAGAUAUAACAUGUCUGUGUAUGUAGAUUACCUAGCAUGAGUCUUCCUACAGUAAAUAUACAGUAUAGUACAUUAUACUGUACAGUAUACUUUUCUAUGUACAGGAAAUAUGGCUUAGGGGGAUAAUCAUCGUAUGAUUAUAUGAAGGUCCUAAGCUGGCAUUUUGUCACCGCAAGAGACUAUUUGUCCCAAGUGAACAGAAGUGGAGAGUUUAUCUGAUAAUAUUUGUUUCAGUAUUCCAGCAGGUAGGGCUGAAACAGAUGAGCACAGGACUUCACUGCCCACCCCCCAGUUAAGAUUCUAUGGACCUGUAUUGGAUAAGAGGUUGGGCGAUGAUGGAUGGAUGCCUGAUAAGCACCCGGCCAAGAUGACUGAAAAGACACAGAAACACAGAAAACUCACUGGAGUAAAAGAAGCCCUGAAGCAACAGCUAAAGGCUUGAAGGAAUCAUUGGAUGUGGUUAAAAUCUCUGUUGACAAGUCUACCACAUGUAAAGCAUUGUACACGCAUGACGUCCAUGGGAGGACACCAGACAGGAAGCCGCUGCCCAUCAACAGAAGAACACUCCUGUAUUCCUGAAGCUCGCCCAAGACCAGCUUCACACUCUGCUCUGCUACUGAGAAAAUGUCUUCUGGACUGAUGAGACUAAGGCUGAAUUAUCGAAGAAGAACAUGUGAUAUUAUAUCCUCCUGAGAGCCAAGGAAAAAAGUGUCCUUCAAUUGUAGGUUAUUUGUCUUAAUUUGGAGGAAAUAAGACAUUUUACAGUUUAGAUUUUAUCAAAUUUAUUUUUAUUUUUAAUUUCACAGCAUGUCCUCUUUAGUGCACAACAGGAAUAAAUAUGUUUCCUUACAUCAGUGAAAAGACAGAUGCAAAAAAUUUGAUACUCAUUGUAAACCCUUCAACACAAAAGUAAUUAGAAUGUUCAACCUAAAUAAACUCUGCAAUUUACAGCCAAACAAUUCAUAGGUAUUUUAUUAAAACUAUCUGGAAUGAAUAAUUUUAAAAUAGAGUGAUUCUAGUAGUAAAAUUUCACAUAAUGAUAGAUAUGUAUGUGUACAUUCUGUACUAUACUGUCCAGUGUCACACCCUGCCUCCCAUAUCCACCUGACCCUCCUGUUUCCCCCCUAGUGUGACCCUAACAAGCUACGCCUGUUACUCACUUGUCUUACCUCCCAUUGCUAACCCUCAUGUUAAUCGCUCCCAGCUGCC